This 494-nucleotide ribosomal RNA is filed under the name uncultured bacterium. RNAcentral describes it as "partial 16S ribosomal RNA". It matches the Rfam family "Bacterial small subunit ribosomal RNA", at positions 28 to 507 of the family's 1533-position model. The record is from RNAcentral.
GACGAACGCUGGCGGCGUGCUUAACACAUGCAAGUCGAACGGAAAGGCCUGCUUUCCCUUGUGGAUUGCGGGUACUCGAGUGGCGAACGGGUGAGUAACACGUGAGUGAUCUGCCCCCAACUUGGGUAUAAGCCUGGGAAACUGGGUCUAAUUCCCGAUAGGACUGCAGGGUGGUGCCUGUGGUGGAUAACGAUUUUCUAGUGGUUGGGGAUGAGCUCGCGGCCUAUCAGCUUGUUGGUGGGGUAAUGGCCUACCAAGGCGGCGACGGGUAGCCGGCCUGAGAGGGUGGGCGGCCACAUUUAGACUGAGAUACGGCCCAGAGUCCUACGGGAGGCAGCAGUGGGGAAUAUUGCACAAUGGGCGGAAGCCUGAUGCAGCGACGCCGCGUGGGGGAUGACGGCCUUCGGGUUGUAAACUCCUUUCGACCGCGAGGAAGCCACCUGGUUGGAAGGGUGGUGACGGUAGUGGUAGAAGAAGCACCGGCUAACUACGUG